AGAGUUUGAUCAUGGCUCAGGACGAACGCUGACGGUGUGCUUUAGACAUGCAAGUCGAACGAGAAAGCCCUUCGGGGUGAGUACAGUGGCGAACGGGUGAGUAACACGUGGGUAACCUACCCCUCGCAGGGGGAUAACCGGGGGAAACCCCGGCUAAUACCCCGUACGCUUGCCGGGCCGCAUGGUCCGGUAAGGAAAGGUAGCUUCGGCCAUCCGGCGAGGGAUGGGCCCGCGGUGCAUUAGCUAGUUGGUGGGGUAACGGCCCACCAAGGCUACGAUGCAUAGCUGGUCUGAGAGGAUGAUCAGCCACACUGGGACUGAGACACGGCCCAGACUCCUACGGGAGGCAGCAGUCGGGAAUUUUGGGCAAUGGGCGAAAGCCUGACCCAGCAACGCCGCGUGAAGGAUGAAGUCCUUCGGGAUGUAAACUUCGGAAGAAUGGGAAGAAUAAAUGACGGUACCAUUUUUAAGCCCCGGCUAACUCCGUGCCAGCAGCCGCGGUAAUACGGAGGAUGCAAGCGUUAUCCGGAAUUACUGGGCGUAAAGAGUUGCGUAGGUGGCAUAGUAAGUUGGUAGUGAAAUGACGUGGCUCAACCAUGUGUCCAUUACCAAAACUGCUAAGCUUGAGAACGAGAGAGGUAGAUGGAAUUGCUAGUGUAGGAGUGAAAUCCGUAGAUAUUAGCAGGAACACCGAUGGCGUAGGCAGUCUACUGGCUCGUUUCUGACACUAAGGCACGAAAGCAUGGGGAGCAAACAGGAUUAGAUACCCCAGUAGUCC
This 778-nucleotide ribosomal RNA is filed under the name uncultured Rubrobacter sp. Its description in RNAcentral is "bacterial SSU rRNA". It matches the Rfam family "Bacterial small subunit ribosomal RNA", at positions 8 to 796 of the family's 1533-position model. The record is from RNAcentral. Lineage: Bacteria; Bacillati; Actinomycetota; Rubrobacteria; Rubrobacterales; Rubrobacteraceae.